UUUUCUUGUUACAUUGUUCUUGAGUUAAACAUUACUCAUUUACUUAUACUCUUCACUCGAAUAUCUUAUGGCCUUAAUCUUUUUGGUUUGGCCAUUUUAGGUGAUGGAAGUUCUCCUGUUGAAGUCACUAGUGUGGAUAUACGUGAAGAUAAGGGCAUGGCAAGCUUUCAGAUAUCCGGUUCUACAAGUACCUAAGUCCUAACUGAUUCCCAUUGACCAAUCUUCUUCAUUUUCAUCCAAGUUUUCACUGCUAGUUUGGUUUCCUAUUUAUUUUUCUUGGUAAAAUCUUUUGUGUAAGCAGGUAAAAGUAUCAGUAAAGGGUUCAUGAGUGUGAAAGCUAGAGUAGG
RNAcentral lists this long non-coding RNA (347 nucleotides) under Arabidopsis lyrata. Its description in RNAcentral is "long non-coding RNA (ALYR_LNC000953)". Lineage: Eukaryota; Viridiplantae; Streptophyta; Magnoliopsida; Brassicales; Brassicaceae. The record is from RNAcentral.